Molecule: ribosomal RNA, 478 nt
Filed under: uncultured bacterium
Lineage: Bacteria
Description: partial 16S ribosomal RNA
Rfam family: Bacterial small subunit ribosomal RNA
Source: RNAcentral
GACGAACGCUGGCGGCGUGCUUAACACAUGCAAGUCGAACGGUAAGGCCCUUCGGGGUACACGAGUGGCGAACGGGUGAGUAACACGUGGGUGAUCUGCCCUGCACUUCGGGAUAAGCCUGGGCAACUGGGUCUAAUACCGGAUAGGACCACUGCCUGCAUGGGUGGUGGUGGAAAGCUUUUGCGGUGUGGGAUGGGCCCGAGGCCUAGCAGCUUGUUGGUGGGGUGAUGGCCUACCAAGGCGACGACGGGUAGACGGCCUGAGAGGGUGACCGGCCACACUGGGACUGAGAUACGGCCCAGACUCCUACAGGAGGCAGCAGUGGGGAAUAUUGCACAAUGGGCGCAAGCCUGAUGCAGCGACGCCGCGUGAGGGAUGACGGCCUUCGGGUUGUAAACCUCUUUCAGCACCGACGAAGCGCAAGUGACGGUAGGUGCGGAAGAAGGACCGGCCAACUACGUGCCAGCCGCCGCGGUAA